UAAUACAUGCAAGUCGAGCGAAUCGACGGGAGCUUGCUCCCUGAGAUUAGCGGCGGACGGGUGAGUAACACGUGGGCAACCUGCCUAUAAGACUGGGAUAACUUCGGGAAACCGGAGCUAAUACCGGAUACGUUCUUUUCUCGCAUGAGAGAAGAUGGAAAGACGGUUUACGCUGUCACUUAUAGAUGGGCCCGCGGCGCAUUAGCUAGUUGGUGAGGUAAUGGCUCACCAAGGCGACGAUGCGUAGCCGACCUGAGAGGGUGAUCGGCCACACUGGGACUGAGACACGGCCCAGACUCCUACGGGAGGCAGCAGUAGGGAAUCUUCCGCAAUGGACGAAAGUCUGACGGAGCAACGCCGCGUGAACGAAGAAGGCCUUCGGGUCGUAAAGUUCUGUUGUUAGGGAAGAACAAGUACC
RNAcentral lists this ribosomal RNA (418 nucleotides) under Bacillus sp. 182-4.2-CV-H31(s)-03. Its description in RNAcentral is "bacterial SSU rRNA". It matches the Rfam family "Bacterial small subunit ribosomal RNA", at positions 49 to 457 of the family's 1533-position model. The record is from RNAcentral. Lineage: Bacteria; Bacillati; Bacillota; Bacilli; Caryophanales; Bacillaceae.